CCAUUUCUUUUAAUUAUGCUGAGCUCUUCUAAACAUUAUUAUAUCAUUACUUUUUCUUCAAUGUCGACAUGAGCUGUCCUCCACUUCCACUUUCUUUCUCCUUUUUCUUUUUUACAGAGACUCAACUCCUUUCUUCAAUAAUGAUGGCGAUCUUCUUUUUUUUAAUUAGUGUCAUCCUUCUUCUUUCCUUUACCUAAGUCGCCUUUUUCUUCAAGACCAGAUGUCCUUUUUCUUUAAUGUCGCCGACCCUUCCUCCCUUGUUCGCCGAGUCUCUCUUUCAUCUUAAUUAAGCUCACCUGCUUUCAUUGAGGUCAAAGUAAAUUAUCCGACCUACUCAUCGCUGCUCUUUUUUAAAGUCGCCGGCGACCUCUUUGGAGCAGAUCUGCCUUGUCCGUUUUUGAGAUCUCUAAUUACAGACCGACCUCCGUUACAUUCAGCUGCUGCGGUUUGACCUGCUAUCGAGGUAGAUGCUUAUAAAUUAUAUUUUCUCCUUUUGUAUGUUCUUCCAAACUUUGCUGAACUUGCUCCUAUAUCUGACCUCUUUAUUUUUUUUUUUUUUACUUAUCCGAGCUUGAAUCCAUCCGAUCUGUCUUCUGUUUUGAAAUUGAUUUGCUCAAGUUUCUAAACUGAACCAAUCCCUUAUCGCUCUUCGCUGUUAAGCCCACCUUUGAUCUUGACACCCCUUUGAGUUCCAUUUCGCCAAAGUUGAUUUGUUCAUAUUUCCAGAACUCUCUUCCUCACCAGCUUAUGGUCUCCAUUUUUUUGUCGACCUUGUUUCUACUUACCCCGAACUACUGUCCAGUGAAAUCUUCUGAUGUUUCCUCUAAAUUUCAUUCAUCGAUUCUCACAGAUGUCUCCAAACUCGACCGAUUCUACCAGUUCUUCCAGUUCGGAUUCUUCAAGCUCUUCCAGCUCGCCUGAUUCUUCGCCGAGCCAGAGUGAUCCUACUGAAAAACGAGUGGCUUCUCCUGCACCUGCUCCAUCCGAUCCGACUUCGUCUAGUUCCUCCAAUUCUUCUCAAUCCUCGCUGAGCCAGAAAGAUCCGAAAGGAAAACAUGUGGCUACCUCGGGUUCACCGUCCUCGUCUAGUUCUUCCUCGACAUCUGAAAAAGAUUGCCGUAGAGAAGAAAGCAGCUGCUUCAAAGGCAACCUCUGAGUUGCUGAUAGUAGGAAUUUUUCAAUCCUUGAUCAAUUCCUCAACUACUCAUGUCAUUGUAGCACUUGAGGUAUCAAUCCAAAUGGAGAGAUUCUAGACACUAGAACUAUGAGGAUCAAUUCUUAAUCCAAGUCUAAUAAGCAGAUGAGUUGGUAACCAAGAUUAUCUAAAAGCAUAUAACAAAACAAGCAAGAACAAACAGUAAUUAAGAAUUAAACAAGCAAGAGAAACUAAACAAACACUCAAAUUCAAAUAAAAAGAAAGCUAAACCUCUAGAUGUGAUCAUUGAUUAGGGUGCUUUAAAUGUGAAUUCAUGAUGCUAAGCAAACAAUGCAACACUUGCAAAUCUUUAGUCUAGACUUCCAAUUCAGAUUAAUUCAUUCUCAUGACAGAAAUCCCUUUGUUAAUUACCAAUUCAAGACUAAUUCUCAUUAGUGAAUAAGCAAUUAACAAGCAUAAGGUUCCAAGUCUAACAUGACCAGACAGCCUCUUUGUGCAUCAAAAUAAGAGCCAAGAAAGACUGAAUCUUAUACAGAAAGAUAAAGCAAGCAUCACAUGAUCUCAAAUUCCAAUUAACUUAGAACUCUAAUCUAGAUUAAUCCUCUCAUGAAGGCACUAACCUCUACACUAAUCCAUUUUCAAACCAAAUCAUCAUUUGUGAAAUAUGAAUCAAUGAGCAUUAAGAAACAGUUCUAAUAUGCCAUUCAUGCAUUUAACAAUCAUUCCCAUGACAUUAAUGCAUAAACCCUUAGUUAGCUUUCAUUCAGGCAUUUCAUCAAACACUUUUGGUGCAUGAAAAACCCAGAUUCUAGACCCAAGUGAUGUGCAAGGAUCUAGCAUUAGGAUCAGCUAACUAAGGAAAGGAGAAGAGAAUCUAAGCUUAAACAAUCAUUAAUCUACAUCUAAGCACCCUAAUCUACACACCUAGAAGCUUAAAAGAUGACUACUCACUAAUCAUGAAGAACACAUCUAAUCUUUUGCAAGAGAUGAUGUUAAUCAUGAUUAGAAGCAGAAAUGAGAUGAUGAGAUGAUGAGAAACAGACUUAGAUUGAUUAAAUCCUUGAGAUCUCUCUUAAUCAAAAACGUUUUUACACUAAAAAGGAAAGAAAACUAGAGAGAAAACUAAGAGAGAAGAUGAUCCCCUUGGGUUUUUCUCCCAAAAAACUAUAUAUACCUAGUGCUAAUGGACCGGGUCAGCCCAGGACAAACUGGGUACUGACCCGGCUCAGUUGGGUCAAGUGGAAAUCCUGCGGGUCAGUCCAGUAUGUCCCAGGUCGCACACCUAAGUCGCAGUAGAUGAAGACUUGUCUUGUGAAGCCUGAAUCGCCUUGUCUUAGCCGCACGCCUAAGUAGGAGUGUUUUGCGAGUGUUGCUGCGGCUUGGUCUCCUUCCUCUCCAACUCGCAGGGCUAAGGCGGUUUCUGGGGAAUGUACAAACUGUGCGGGUUGGUCUCUAUUGCACCUAGGUCGCAGGCUCAAGUCGGAGUGAUUUGCGAGUGUUGCUGCGGCUUGGUCUCCUUCCUCUCCAACUCGCAGCAUCCAGAGCAGCUUAGACCACUUCGCAUUCCGGAGAGUGUAACUCCUAUGAGACUUGUCCGAAUUGAAUGAUUUCGGUUGCAGAAGACAGAGGACUCAUUUAUCUCCAACUUUGGUGAAGAAAGCUUCGGUGCUUGGGAAGUGUAAGGCUUCCUGGAGGGCACAUCUUUGCAGUGCAUGUACACGACCAGAGAGAGGCGUCUAGACAUGUGUCCAUUCCGGAGACUGUAUCUUUCUGCUCAUAGAUCCGAAUUGAAUGCUCUUGGACGUUCUGGAAAGAAGACUCAAAUUUCUAUGGUUCUCAUGAAGGACCCGGAAACUAAAUCGGCCUGGAAGUGCACCGUCCUUCGCAUCCUUUAGAACUGAUCUGCUCGGUCAGGAAUACCUGCGAGACUGGGGUUCCUUCCGACAAGCUUAUCUCUCUGCUCACGCGUCCGAAUUCCACGAUUCUACUUGCUAAGAGACCGUGAUGCAAUGCUCUCCAACUUCUAUGAAGCACCCGCCGUCUGAAUCGGACCGGAAGGCUCCCCGGACAGGUGAUCAUUCAGGGGUAUCGGAUUGCUCCGGAAUGAGUGGGAGACCUGUUCGUCUUCCGAUUACCAUAUCUUUCAGUUCUAUGGUCCAAAUGCCUUGAUUCCAACUGUUAUGAACUCUUGACUCAAUUAUCUCCAACCUUUAUGAAGACUCCGAUAGCUGAAUCUGACCGGAAGGUUCCCCGGACGGGCGAUUUCGGAAACGUGUCUGCACCCGGAGAUUUUGGCCGAGAGACUUGAUUCGCGGUACAUGAAAAUGGCCGGUAAAGCUUCCCGCGGUACAUGGAAAUGGCCGGUAAAACCUUCCUGGCCAGCGAGAAUGGCCGGUAAUCUCCCAGGACCCAAUUUUCCACUUUUUUCAAGCUUUGCUCACCAUUCCACCUCCUGGAUUCAUCUUUUCAGCUCCAUAUUCACCUGAUAGACACUCAAAACAUGCAAUAUACUCAUUGGGACCUAAUGCAUCUCCUAAGUUCUAAAACAAACCCUAAGGACCUAAAAUGCAUGAAAUAAAACAUAAUUUGGAAUGAUUUAUGCAACCUAAAUGAUGCAAAUUAUGAACAUAUCAGUUGCAAACCGAGAUUUCUGAUCUCAAGGGACAGAUUGUCGAACUCGACGCCAAACGAGAUUUGCUAUCAAAAGAGUUGAAGGACGAACAAACGCGGCUUAGAGGGGCUCGGAACAGAGCACUUCGAGGGUGGAAAAUGGCAACUGAAAAGUGCCAAGUUCGAGUCUAGAAGUCGAACAGGCGCCAAUCCGAGAUUGAAGCGCAAAUGGAACCAUAUCUCGAGUAUAACCAGCUUUGCGGGAUUCUUGGUUUCUGUGAUGAAUACGGUCUGAAAGGCGGUGCGAUUUCUCCAUCUGUUAUCAGCAAGCUUGAGAGGCGCAAGGCACACAGCGAGCUAGGUUCAAGUCGCUCUCUAUGACCGAACUUGAGCCUGAUGAUACCCGUGUUACACCGUUUCGUGACGACCUUUACCCAGGGAUCGAUCAGGUGAUUGGAUUUGAUGUUCCCGCAGGUCUGGACAUGUUUGGAUCUAACUCUGAGGAGAUAUCGGAUAGGCAAGCUUCUGACAUGAGGAGUUGAGCUUCAGACUGAUCUUAGUUUUUUUUUUAAUCUUUUGUUAGACUAUUUUCCUGGUAUUAUAUACAUUGCCUGAGGAGGCUUUUAAACCUUGACUUGUUUGCCCGGGUGGGCUUUUGACGUGUUAUGUUAUGAGGUCGGAUUUUCUAGAAUCUUGUAUUUUUCAUUAAAUACUUGUGUUCGAGGAAGAUUUGACUUUGCGAACUGUGAGUUCGGCUUAUUUUGCAAGUGUUGAAAAUUUGGCUUACAUUUUUCGAGUGUUGAGAACUUGGCUUAUAUUUUGCGAGUGUUGAGAACUCGGCUUAUGGUGCGAAUCUGAGGUGUUCGGCUUAAUUUUUGCGAGUUCAAUGAACUCGGCUUGAAACCCAAGGGAGUUCUCUCGUGAUGGAAGGACGGAGUUCGAAAGAAGCGUUUCCUUGUAAACACACGAUGAAACUCCAGGUUUCCUAGAUCGAAUCGGAGUAUGCGGGAUGAGCCCGGCUUAUUGUUCUCAGAUGACCUAGGAAUAAGUAAUGCGGGACUGGCCCCGGCUUUAAAAAUUGUGGAUUCUUUCACCACGACGCCAUGUGGAGGCUUGCGAGACAGAUCUCGGCUUUUUGAGGUUGCAUUGUUGAGAAAUGCUAUCGAAUGUCUGGCCAGGACAUCGAUGUGAAUACCGAUGAGUUCAGUUACGACUGCGAACAUAGGAGUUCAGCUUAACAGAUACUUAGAAAAAUUAAAAUUUAUUAAUAUACCAGCUGAACUCUUGACGAGCUGCCUACGUACCCGCGAAGGGAUCAAACCAUUCGUAGUUCAUGUUACAACGUUUAGAGCUCGUAGAGUGUUCCUUUUUUUUUUUGAUCGGGUUACUGAUCUAAUAGUAGACCUAAUAGUAGUAUCUCUUCAUACUCAUCGAAUUCCACGAUCUCAGAAUUGGAGUUCCAUCCAUCUUCAUGAGUUGAUAAACACCUGGUUUUACGACCUUCAUUAUCUGAUACGGGUCUUCCCAAUUGGCACCGAGCUUACCAGCGUUUUUUUCCUCUGUAUUCUGAAACACUUUUCGGAGAACGAGAUCACCGUCUUCGAAAAACCGACCUCGAACUUUCUUGUUGUAGUAUCGCGCCGCCAUGUGUUGAUAAUUCUGAAUUCGGAGUAAUGCUUGGUCGCGUUGCUCUUCUAGUUCAUCAAGUUUGUCGUACAUCAUUUGGUCGUUAGUUUUGGGAUAUUGAGUGAGCAUCGUCCUUCUGAUGGGCGGAAUUGAAAUUUCAGCUGGGCAAAGAGCCUCGACACCAUAUGCUAAGGAAAAGGGAGAUUGUCCUGUUGAUCUUCGAGGUGUUGUUCGAUGCGACCAUAAUACUCCGUCGAGUUCGUCAGACCAAGUUCCUUUCUUUUCAGUGAGCCGUUUUUUUAGGCCGUCUAUAAUAGUUUUGUUUGUCGCUUCUGCUUGACCAUUGCCCUGAGGGUACCUAGGUGUAGAGAAGUUCAAUCGAAUUUUCCAUUCAGCGCAAAAGUCUUGAAAAACGGCCGAAGUGAACUGAGAUCCGUUGUCGGUGACAAUCUCAUAAGGAAUCCCGUGUCAACAAAUGAUGUUUUUCUAGACGAAUUUCUUGACCUCGUUUCCGUGUAUUUCUGGGUAGGCUUUGGCUUCGACCCAUUUGGUAAAGUAGUCCGUCAUGACGAGGACGAACUGCUUUUGAGUUGUGGAUCGGCAAAAAGGGCAUAUGAUGUCCAUCGCCCAUCGCAUAAACGGGUAAGGAGCUGUGGAGGUUGUUAACAGUUCAGUAGGAAGGUUGAUCAUUGGGCCAUGCCUUUGGUACCUCUCACACUUAGCGACAAAUUUUUCGCAACUGAAACCAUAGUAGGCCAGAAAUAGCUUGCCUUCUUUAUCUUCAGGGCGAGAGACCGACCUCCAGAGUGAUUCCCACCUGAUCCUUCGUGAACCUUCUUCAUAAUUUCCUUAAUCUCUUUGCCGGAUACGCAGAUGAGAAGAAUUCCUGCUGCGCUCCAUCGGAAUAGGCCGUCCUUGAUCAUCAUAUACCGAGCCGCACGCAUUUUUAGUCGGUGUGCUUCCCAUUUGUCCGGUGGUAGCUCUUCAUUCGCUAAGUAUGCUAUAAUUUCUUGCGUCCAAUCUGGAGGUACUUCCUCAUCGUUUUCGUCCACAUUUAGUGGGUCGUGACGACCUUCGGAAGGAAGUUCAGCAUCGUCUUCGUUCUCUUGAACGAGGUCGGUCUCGUCAAUCCGACCAUCAAAAUUGAGUGGCAGAUUUGUGUCACCCAAUGUGCGCCUUCGACGUCGUAAAGGUGGUUCAAGAUUCGGUUCCGCCUCAUAAUCUCUUCGUCGGGUAGUAACGUUGCAAUCCUUCAUAGUUUUGAUACUGGGUCGUGAGAUACUUUCAAUCGGGAUUGUUCGUUUGAGAUGUGGAUCCGAAUUUGAUGCGAGAGCUGCUAAGGCAUCGGCAGGCGCAUUCUCUCCUCGAGGAAUUUUCGUAAGGUUGAAUGUGUUGAACUCUGCUGCGAGUUGCUUAACUAGUUGUAGGUAGGCCUCCAUUCGAUCAUUUUUGGUAUCAUACUCCCCGCUGAACUGACUAGCAACGAGCUGAGAAUCGCAGUAGGCGUGAAGAUGUUGUGCGCCGAUUUCCUUUGCAAGACGGAGGCCGGCGAUAAGUGUCUCGUAUUCGGCUUCGUUGUUAGACGCUGGAAAGUCUAAACGAAAAGAUUGUUCCAACAGUUUGCCGGUCGGUGUUUUAAGCUGAAUACCAAUUCCAUAUUCUUUAUAGGAUGACGAUCCAUCAACGUGAAGCACCCAUUUUUCAGCUUCGGUUAAGUCAGCUUUGAUGAGUUCGGGUGAAAGUUCAAUAAAAAAAUCGGCUAACACUUGUGGUUUUGCGCUAGUCCGGUUUUUGUACCCAAUGUCGUACUUGCUUAGUUCGAUAGCCCACUUCGCAAGACGUCCUGACUGGCUGGGAUUGUGCAAGAUAGCGCGGAGCGGUUGGUCGGUGAGCACCGUGAUGGAGUGGGACUGAAAGUAGGGUCGGAGUUUUCGCGCCAAGGUGACAACAGCCAAUGCCAAUUUUUCUAAGGUCGGGUAUCGUGACUCCGCGUCGUUGAGUGCUUUGCUUGUGUAGAAAAUUGGCUUCUGCUCGCCACGAUCUUCUCUGACAAGAACGCUACUGACAGCCGAGACAGAUACUGCAAUGUACACAUACAGGGUCUCGCCGUCCUCUGGUUUGGCUAAAAUCGGAGGAGUAGACAAGUAUUCCUUUAAUUGUUUGAAUGCGUGUUCGCAGUCGUCGUUCCACUCAAGAUGCUUAUUGCCACGAAGGAUUUGGUAAAAAGGUAAGCAUUUGUCCGUUGAUCGAAAUAUGAAUCUAUUUAGUGCAGCAAUUCGUCCUGUAAGCUUUUGGACUUCGCGCUUCGUGGUCGGGGAUGGAAGCUCGAGGAUCGCCGUUAUCUGUUUUGGGUUAGCUUCGAUCCCUCUCCGAGUCACAAUAUAUCCGAGAAAUUCACCGGACGUAACUCCGAAUGUACAAUUAGUAGGAUUUAGCUUCAUGCCAUACUGGUCAAGUAUCUCGAAACAGGUUUGGAGAUGUCGAACAUGAUCUUUGGCGAGAAGAGACUUGACGAGCAUGUCGUCAAUGUAGACCUCCAUGGUUCGGCCGAGCUGACUGGCAAACAUUCGGUUAACAAAUCGUUGGUAGGUCGCCCCAGCGUUCUUUAGCCCAAACGGCAUGACUUUGUAACAAUAAAUUCCACGAUCCGUGAUAAAAGAAGUCUUUUCACGGUCUUCUGGAUGCAUAAGUAUUUGAUUAUAACCGGAGAAUGCGUCCAUAAACGAAAGAAGUUCGUUUCCUGCGGUCGCCUCUACCAGCCGAUCAAUAUGUGGUAAAGGGAAACUGUCUUUGGGACAAGCUUUAUUCAGGUCGGUGAAAUCAACGCAAAUUAUCCAUUUCCCGUUCUUCUUUUUGACGACGACGGGAUUAGCAAGCCAAUCUGGAUAUCGAACUUCAGUGAUAGAUCCUGCUUGAAGUAGUCGCUCGACUUCGUCAUUAACGGCUUGUGCCUUUUCAAGUCCAAGUUUGCGUCUUUUUUGUUUGACGGGUUUGAAAGUAGGGUCGAUAUUGAGUUCGUGGCGUGCCACCUUUGGAUCUAUGCCCGGCAUAUCGCUGAUCGACCAUGCGAAGGUUGUCACGUGCUUGCAGAGGAACUGAAGUAUAUCUUCCCUGAUUUCUGGAUCCAGGUCGGCACCUAUACCGACCUGUCUUUCAGGGAAAGUCUCGUCGAUGCUGACCUGAACUACCGUUUCUUGUGGUGGCUUCUGCUUUUGAGUUAUUGGGUCGGACUUCGCUCUGAUGGCACACGAUUGAUUAGCAAUUCGGAGCUUGCAUUCAUUAAUGUAACAUGAUCGAGCUGUAGCUUGAUUUCCACGAAGUGUAUAAAUUCCUCCUGAAGUUGGAAAUUUGACGCACUGAUGAUAAGUAGAAGCUACUGCCUUCAUUGCAUGGAGCCAAGGCGUUCCGAGGAUGGCGUUGUAGAUUGCUGGUGUCUUCAUGACGAAGAACUUAACAGUUUUUGCAACACCCGCAACGUAGAUCGGUAUUUUGACAGUACCGACUGUCAUGGUUUGCUCUCCCGUGAAUCCUGUUAACGGUUCGAUGUCCGCCUUACUUUUUUCCUUAGGAAAAUCCAUCUGCUCGAGUGUAUCUCGGAAGAUGACGUUAACCAAACUGCCAGUGUCGAUCAAGACUCGACUUACUUCGACAUCGUCAAAGAGUAGGUCGACUACAAGAGAAUCGUUGUGUGGCAUUUGGAGACCGAUUGUAUCCGCUUCUGUGAAUGCAAUGGCUGGUCCGCUCGUCGUUGUUGCGCUGAGUUUUGACGCGGUAAUCGCCUGUCGACUAUACUCUUUUAUCCCCCGAACUGAGUAGUUGCACAUCUCGAGUUUGCCCAUGAUAAAGUUGACUCGUUUCCUAGGUUUUGGUACAUGGGUGUCUGUGUCGUUGUUUUCCCGACCUUGUUUUUGCUGCUCGGGUCUGGCUGGUUGUGGGUUAUCUGUUUGGUUGUACCAGCGGUGUCUUGGAUCCUUUCGUUUAUGACUGUAUUAGGUUGCUCUUGCUUUUCAUUGUUGCAUCGGAAAGGAGUUCGGCGAACAUCGUCCAUUGAAAUUGAUACUUUUCUGAAUUGUUCUAGGAGGUAAUCUUUCAAGUGUCGGCAUUCUUCGGUGCUGUGUCCUUUACGGUUGUGGAAUUCGCAGAACAAUGUCUCGUCUUGAUCGUCAUUACCGCAAAUCCAUUUGUUGUUCCAUGGUCGCUGUGGUUGAGCCGAGUUGACAUUGUUACUUGUGAAUUUUCGUCGAUUGUCGAAUCCUCUAUCGUAGGUCGGACGUGACUCGUUAUUAUCAUUUUUAGGUCUCUCUUUUGGGUCGACCUGCUUUUGUGAAGAUUUGCUCUGAUCGUAGGCGGCCUCCUCUUCCUCCUCUGCAAUAUAUGAGUUCGACCGAUGGAGUGCGUCCUCGAGUGUAAGCGGUGGGUUGUGUUUGAUCGCUUUGUGAAAGGAUGACUUAAUCCGAGUUGCCUUGUGCAAACACUCGAGGGUGGCCUCGUCGCUGACCGUGCAAUGGACGACAACUGACUUGAAACGUUUGAUGAAGUCGCGGAGACUCUCGUUUUCUCCCUGAACCAUUCGCCAUAGUUUGGCAUUUCGCGUCUUUUGCCCGAUAAACAUCGAAAAAUGUUUAACGGACGCUGUUGAGAGUUCGGCAAAACUGUUUAUGGAGUUCACUUGAAGUCGAGUGAACCAAUCGAGAGCAACUCCUAGGAGAUUUUCAACGAAAAACUGACACCUCACUGGAUCUUUUUCUUCUGUCGUCCGGAACUGAAAGCGGUUCAUGACGAUGCCAAAAGAUGUCAGAAAGUGCUUUGGGUCGGAAUCUCCUUCGUAAGUUUUGAGUUUUAACUUCUCAAGGUGCCGAACAGGAGUGUUAGCGAUUCUAGGAGUGAAUGGCGUCUUUUGUGCCUCUUGGAUAACGCGAUCAAUUUCGGGAGCUGCACUGGUUGCUUUGUGAAUCUGUGAGGUGAUUUCACGAAGUUUGACCUUCAUGGCUUCGAAUUCUUCGUCGCGAUUGAAGGUGGAUUGAGUGGCUGGGUUGCCAGUAGAUCCUAAGGCUGUAGAUCGGACUGUUCCAGUUGGGGGUUCCUCUGAGUUGAGGUCGCCAAUUAAGUUACGACCUCGCAAUGGAGUUUGCGUUUGACUGAGUUCUGCGAUUUGGGACACCAUGACGUCCAAACGUUCAUUGUUAUGUUUUGUUAUUUCUUGAAACUGAGCUGUUAUUGCCUGAAGAAUGGCGUUUUGGUCAAACUGCCCAGAGUUUGCUGGAGUUUCCGUAUUGUUCGGGUCAGUUCGGUUGGGAUUUUCCGGAGUGCUAUCGUUGUCGCCAUUCCUUGUUUCGGAAGCAGUUAGGUCUGCCAUUGCCAAACUUGUUCUUCUUUAUCGAGCUAGAUUGAAAAUAUUACUGUAAUUCCCCACGGAUGGCGCCAAUUGUUGAUAUAUAAUAUCACACUAAGGGGUAAAACAGUAAUAUUCGAAUCAAAAGUCUCGUUUAUUAGAAGAUAGUUCGGAAAAAUACAACUUGAGUUAAGGUCGUCGUAGUUCCGACGACCUCGUUAGCAAAGAUAGAACUCGAAAUAAAGUUGACGAUCUCAAAGUUCUUCAAAGGUCUCUCUCUGCUGUUGAUUUGCGGAUGCCUUGAAUGAAUGAAGCUCUCCCCUAUUUAUACGAAUUCUAAGGCGGUUUGAGAAGAACUUUCCUUUUCCUUCUCGAUGUGGGAUUUAACAUUUUCUUCUCCGAUAUUUCCGGAAAUGCUCAGUGAAAUUCGGGAAAGUCGGCCAAUUUCGUAAAUUGGACUUUAAUGGACCUUCUAGAAAGUCAUACGUCGGCCCACCCGAUUUAACCUCGAUUUCAAUCUUCGUAAACCGAGGUCUUUCUGGACCGGUCUCGAUUAAUACCGAGUUAACCGGGGGUGCGAAGUACACCACCAACAGCCACUACCACCACCGGCUGCUGCAACUGCAGCUGGAGGAGCUCGAGAGGCCCGACGAAACCCACCACAACCAGAAGAGGAGAUGCCCAUGUUGGAAGAUGAUGUUCCAUCCGAUCCGUUAAUACGUCAACAAGCUCAAUACCCCUUGAGAAGACAGAACGCGAGACAAGACGAGCCUAGAGAGGGUAACUUAUAUGUUAAGCUCACUCCUCCAACUUUUGCAGGCAAGUCGGACCUUGAUGUCUACCUGGAUUGAGAGAGAAGACUCGAAUACAUCUUCGAGUGUUACGGUUACUCUGACUGCAGGAAAGUGGCACUAGCUGGUGCCCAACUUACCGACAACACCUUAGCUUGGUGGGACAGAAACGUAGCGGACAGGAGGAGAAACCGUUUUGCACCGGUUACAACAUGACGAGACAUGAAGUUAUUGCUCCGAUCAAGGUAUGUACCUGAUCAUUAUCACCGGGACUUACAAAACUGUUUUAGAAAGUUGUCGCAGGGAAUUAGGUCUGUGGAUGAAUAUUUUGAAGAGUUUGAGAAGCUAGUGAACCUGUUGGAGCUCGAGGAGACUGAGGAGGCGUUGAUGGCGCAGUUUAUAAAUGGCUUACAAGAGCGUAUAACUCGUAAAGUGGAGAAAGCUCAAUAUAGUGGGAUGCACGAACUGUUGCACUUGUCAGUGCAAGUGGAGCAGCAGAUCAAGCGCAAAACAUCCAUGUCAAACAGGAAUUGUGCCCCUCAAACCUGGAAUGAAAGUAGCUCUAAACCGGUGGACAAAGGAAAUGCCAUAGAAAUAGCUGGUUGUCUCCUCUUGAAUUUCUCCAAAAGCUGGAUCAGAUGGUGAGAAAGUCUUCAUUUGAGGCUGAACUUUUGACGGUCUGACUCUAAGCUAAAAAUAUGGAUUUCUUCCAUUUUGCCAUUUUUUUCCUUAAGUUUCCUGAAAAUAGCCUUGAAACUACAAAUUUAGAAAAAUCAUAAUAAAAGUUCCUAAAACUGAUUAAAACCUUUAAAAAAGCAUUUGAAAUCAAUGGUGAAAAUGGGUACAAAUACGGUGUUAUCAACUCCCCCAUAUUUAGACUUUGUUUGUCCUCAAACAAAACAAGAUCCAUUAUGGAAAAUGUAUGAUAUGUUCAUAAAAUACAUCAUUUAGAUUGCAUAUUUCAUUCUAAAUCGUGUCUUAUUUCAUGCAUUUAAGGUCUUUAGGCAUUGUUUUAGGACUUAGGAGUUUGCAUUAAGCCCAAGUGAGUCUUUGCAUGGUUUGUAGUCUUAAACAUGUAAUAUUGAGGACAUUUGGAGUGAAGAGAGUGAACCAGAUAAAGAAAUAGAGUUUGGAGGAUCAUAAAUGGUGGAAAUGGUGUUUUUGGAUCCAUCGGCAAAGCCAUGUACCGCAGGCUACAAUUUCUCGGCUAAAAUGCUUACCGGGUGGAGUUUUCAUCGGCCAAACACUGUAUCGGAACAAAGGAAUCAUCAGUUAAAACUUUAUGCCAAAAUAACUAUAUUAUGACAAAAACAUUUCGUCACAAUAAACAUAAUUUCGUAGCAAUAAAAUUUUUGUGACGGAAUUGUGACGUUUUUUGGACAUCACAAUACAGUCGUCACAAAUUUUUUUUCGUAACAAAAACGUCACAUCUGUUGUGACGAAUAUAUCUAGUAACUGCUUCGUCAAACUGCUUCGUCAUCAAUGGUGACGAGAAAUAAAAGUUACAAAACUGUAUCAAUUGGAGACUAAAGAAAAUGUCUCAGACCAUCAUAUUUUAUGACUGUUAUAAUGUCUCAAAUCUGUCACUCAUUUUGACGAAAUUUUAGUUCUAAAUCGUCAUAAAUAAUGACUAGGGAAUCGUUGUCUAUUCGUUAUACUUACCUACUAUCAAUUAUGUAACUUAUUUCGACGAAAAUUUAGUUGCAAACACGUGUAAUGACAUAAAGAACAUUGGCUAUCGAUCUUAGUUUGCAACUAUUUUUUGUCCUAAUUAACUAAUGAUAAACUGACCAUAUUAAAAAAAGCUAUAUUUUCAUAAAUGAAACCAUGAUACAUAUUUGUGAAUAAAGGAUAGGUUGCUCAGCAUCGUCCUCGGAUCUCAAGCUUGACCUUUCUCGCCUUCAAGAAAUCUCAAACUUGCUGUUUUCUUUGCCCGAAGAAGCUUUCAUCUGGUUUACAACUUGCAAACCUGGCUCGAUACCCAUUUUGACCAUAUAUGAGUUGGAACAGAAACCACCAACAAAUGAAAUCUGUAAAUUUUUCCAUAUGAGAUUGCUGUUGAAAAAAACUUUAUGCUGAAGUACCUUAUUAGAUGAUUUCAUAAUUACCUCAGAUGUUAUUCCUUCUAGUGCAGGCUUCAUAUAAUCAGGUGAGCAAAUCACGUAUUGUUUUAGUAAAAAAGAAAAAAAGAAAGGCAGGUCAUUUUCCAGUCUUUUAAUUUUCAAAUUGAGGAAGAAACAGAAUGCGUUUUUGGAUUUUGG
RNAcentral lists this long non-coding RNA (13776 nucleotides) under Eutrema salsugineum. Its description in RNAcentral is "long non-coding RNA (ESAL_LNC000258)". Lineage: Eukaryota; Viridiplantae; Streptophyta; Magnoliopsida; Brassicales; Brassicaceae. The record is from RNAcentral.